CGCAACUUGCGCUCUUUGGCAUUCCGAAGAGCAUGCUUGUUUGAGUGUCGCAAACCUCUCACGCCCCGCGUUUUAACGAGCGCGCGCGGCUGUGGAUCGUGGCCGUCGGCCGGCUCUUGUAGUCGGCCCGGCCGAAAUACAUGCGGAGCGCCUCUGCUGCCCGCGACGACCGAGCGUUGUAGACCCCUCGCUUGAUCGGCGUGAGCGCAGGCUCCCAACCCUAUCUAUUCGACCUCAAAUCAAGUAGGACUACCCGCUGAACUUAA
This 266-nucleotide unclassified non-coding RNA is filed under the name Phyllozyma coprosmicola. RNAcentral describes it as "partial contains 5.8S ribosomal RNA, internal transcribed spacer 2, and large subunit ribosomal RNA". Lineage: Eukaryota; Fungi; Basidiomycota; Spiculogloeomycetes; Spiculogloeales; Spiculogloeaceae. The record is from RNAcentral.